GGGACACGUGGUAUCCUGUCUGAAUAUGGGGGGACCAUCCUCCAAGGCUAAAUACUCCUGACUGACCGAUAGUGAACCAGUACCGUGAGGGAAAGGCGAAAAGAACCCCGGCGAGGGGAGUGAAAAAGAACCUGAAACCGUGUACGUACAAGCAGUGGGAGCCUCUUUAUGGGGUGACUGCGUACCUUUUGUAUAAUGGGUCAGCGACUUAUAUUCUGUAGCAAGGUUAACCGAAUAGGGGAGCCGAAGGGAAACCGAGUCUUAACUGGGCGUUAAGUUGCAGGGUAUAGACCCGAAACCCGGUGAUCUAGCCAUGGGCAGGUUGAAGGUUGGGUAACACUAACUGGAGGACCGAACCGACUAAUGUUGAAAAAUUAGCGGAUGACUUGUGGCUGGGGGUGAAAGGCCAAUCAAACCGGGAGAUAGCUGGUUCUCCCCGAAAGCUAUUUAGGUAGCGCCUCGUGAAUUCAUCUCCGGGGGUAGAGCACUGUUUCGGCAAGGGGGUCAUCCCGACUUACCAACCCGAUGCAAACUGCGAAUACCGGAGAAUGUUAUCACGGGAGACACACGGCGGGUGCUAACGUCCGUCGUGAAGAGGGAAACAACCCAGACCGCCAGCUAAGGUCCCAAAGUCAUGGUUAAGUGGGAAACGAUGUGGGAAGGCCCAGACAGCCAGGAUGUUGGCUUAGAAGCAGCCAUCAUUUAAAGAAAGCGUAAUAGCUCACUGGUCGAGUCGGCCUGCGCGGAAGAUGUAACGGGGCUAAACCAUGCACCGAAGCUGCGGCAGCGACACUAUGUGUUGUUGGGUAGGGGAGCGUUCUGUAAGCCUGUGAAGGUGUGCUGUGAGGUAUGCUGGAGGUAUCAGAAGUGCGAAUGCUGACAUAAGUAACGAUAAAGCGGGUGAAAAGCCCGCUCGCCGGAAGACCAAGGGUUCCUGUCCAACGUUAAUCGGGGCAGGGUGAGUCGACCCCUAAGGCGAGGCCGAAAGGCGUAGUCGAUGGGAAACAGGUUAAUAUUCCUGUACUUGGUGUUACUGCGAAGGGGGGACGGAGAAGGCUAUGUUGGCCGGGCGACGGUUGUCCCGGUUUAAGCGUGUAGGCUGGUUUUCCAGGCAAAUCCGGAAAAUCAAGGCUGAGGCGUGAUGACGAGGCACUACGGUGCUGAAGCAACAAAUGCCCUGCUUCCAGGAAAAGCCUCUAAGCAUCAGGUAACAUCAAAUCGUACCCCAAACCGACACAGGUGGUCAGGUAGAGAAUACCAAGGCGCUUGAGAGAACUCGGGUGAAGGAACUAGGCAAAAUGGUGCCGUAACUUCGGGAGAAGGCACGCUGAUAUGUAGGUGAAGUCCCUUGCGGAUGGAGCUGAAAUCAGUCGAAGAUACCAGCUGGCUGCAACUGUUUAUUAAAAACACAGCACUGUGCAAACACGAAAGUGGACGUAUACGGUGUGACGCCUGCCCGGUGCCGGAAGGUUAAUUGAUGGGGUUAGCGGUAACGCGAAGCUCUUGAUCGAAGCCCCGGUAAACGGCGGCCGUAACUAUAACGGUCCUAAGGUAGCGAAAUUCCUUGUCGGGUAAGUUCCGACCUGCACGAAUGGCGUAAUGAUGGCCAGGCUGUCUCCACCCGAGACUCAGUGAAAUUGAACUCGCUGUGAAGAUGCAGUGUACCCGCGGCAAGACGGAAAGACCCCGUGAACCUUUACUAUAGCUUGACAC
Molecule: ribosomal RNA, 1713 nt
Filed under: Escherichia coli
Lineage: Bacteria; Pseudomonadati; Pseudomonadota; Gammaproteobacteria; Enterobacterales; Enterobacteriaceae
Description: partial 23S ribosomal RNA
Rfam family: Bacterial large subunit ribosomal RNA
Source: RNAcentral